RNAcentral lists this ribosomal RNA (293 nucleotides) under uncultured eukaryote. Its description in RNAcentral is "partial 18S ribosomal RNA". It matches the Rfam family "Eukaryotic small subunit ribosomal RNA", at positions 6 to 299 of the family's 1831-position model. The record is from RNAcentral.
GGUUGAUCCUGCCAGUAGUCAUAUGCUUGUCUCAAAGAUUAAGCCAUGCAUGUCUAAGUAUAAACACUUCUAUACUGUGAAACUGCGAAUGGCUCAUUAAAUCAGUUAUAGUUUAUUUGAUAGUACUUUACUACUUGGAUAACCGUGGUAAUUCUAGAGCUAAUACAUGCAUAAAAACCCGACUUCUGGAAGGGUUGUAUUUAUUAGAUAAAAAACCAACCCGGGCAACCGGUUCACUGGUGACUCAUAGUAACUUCUCGAAUCGUAUGGCCUUGUGCCGGCGAUGUUUCAUU